CAGGGGUCUACAAGGUUGAAGAAGGCCACUCAGUCCAGUUUUCAAUGUACCUGGUCAAAUUUACCAAAACAACUCCAGAUUUUCCAAUUCGAAGUUUACUAUGGCAGUCCUGACUCCUUCAGUCAUAUCUCAGAAUAUACAACUCCAAUUCAAGUGAUUCCAAAGCCAUUUGAAUGCUAAGAUACAAGGCUAUAAGUCUUAAUAAGACAUCAACAGCCAAAUCAGUAGUAUUCCUGGUC
Molecule: long non-coding RNA, 239 nt
Filed under: Coffea arabica (coffee)
Lineage: Eukaryota; Viridiplantae; Streptophyta; Magnoliopsida; Gentianales; Rubiaceae
Description: long non-coding RNA (CARA_LNC001233)
Source: RNAcentral